RNAcentral lists this ribosomal RNA (1560 nucleotides) under Spirochaetae bacterium HGW-Spirochaetae-1. Its description in RNAcentral is "bacterial SSU rRNA". It matches the Rfam family "Bacterial small subunit ribosomal RNA". Lineage: Bacteria; Pseudomonadati; Spirochaetota. The record is from RNAcentral.
UUAUUACGGAGAGUUUGAUUCUGGCUCAGAACGAACGCUGGCGGCGCGUUUUAAACAUGCAAGUCGAACGAGAACCUUGGUGCUUGCAUUGAGGGGACAGUGGCGAACGGGUGAGUAACACGUGGAUAAUCUACCUCUAGGAUGGGGACAACCACUGGAAACGGUGGCUAAUACCAAAUGAUAUGGUUAUUACAUAAGUAGUGAUCAUCAAAGGUGGGGACCUUCGGGCCUAUCGCCUGGAGAUGAGUCCGCGGCCCAUUAGCUUGUUGGUGAGGUAAAAGCUCACCAAGGCGACGAUGGGUAGCCGGCCUGAGAGGGUGAACGGCCACAUUGGGACUGAGACACGGCCCAGACUCCUACGGGAGGCAGCAGUUAAGAAUCUUGCGCAAUGGGCGAAAGCCUGACGCAGCGACGCCGCGUGGACGAUGAAGGCCUUCGGGUUGUAAAGUCCAAUAAGCAGGGAAGAAUAAGCAAAGGGUAAUAUUCUUUGCGAUGACGGUACCUGUCUAAAGCCCCGGCUAACUACGUGCCAGCAGCCGCGGUAAUACGUAUGGGGCUAGCGUUGUUCGGAAUUAUUGGGCGUAAAGGGCGUCUAGGCGGGGAAUUAAGUUAGGUGUGAAAUCCAAGGGCUCAACCCAUGAAUUGCAUCUAAAACUGAUUCUCUUGAGUUCGGGAGAGGAGAGCGGAAUUCCUGGUGUAGCGGUGAAAUGCGUAGAUAUCAGGAGGAACACCGGUGGCGAAGGCGGCUCUCUGGCCUAGAACUGACGCUGAAGCGCGAAAGCGUGGGGAGCAAACGGGAUUAGAUACCCCGGUAGUCCACGCUGUAAACGUUGUAUACUAGGUGUUAGUGACUUGUUCACUAGUGCCGACGCUAACGCAUUAAGUAUACCGCCUGGGGAGUACGACCGCAAGGUUGAAACUCAAAGAAAUUGACGGGGGCCCGCACAAGCGGUGGAGCAUGUGGUUUAAUUCGAUGAUACGCGAAAAACCUUACCUGGGCUUGAACUGUACAUGACAGGUGUAGAGAUACACCCUUCUUCGGACAUGUAUAGAGGUGCUGCAUGGUUGUCGUCAGCUCGUGUCGUGAGAUGUUGGGUUAAGUCCCGCAACGAGCGCAACCCUUACUCCUUGUUGCCAUCAGGUAAUGCUGAGCACUCUAGGGGAACUGCCGGUGACAAACCGGAGGAAGGUGGGGAUGACGUCAAAUCAUCACGGCCCUUAUGUCCAGGGCUACACACGUGCUACAAUGGCCGGUACAAUGAGAAGCAAGACUGCGAAGUGGAGCAAAUCUCAAAAAACCGGUCUCAGUUCGGAUCGGAGUCUGCAACUCGACUCCGUGAAGUUGGAAUCGCUAGUAAUCGUGGAUCAGCACGCCACGGUGAAUACGUUCCCGGGCCUUGUACACACCGCCCGUCACACCACCCGAGUUGGCAGCACCCGAAGUAGCUGAUCUAACCCGCAAGGGAGGAAGGUUCCUAAGGUGAAGCUGGUGAGGGGGGUGAAGUCGUAACAAGGUAGCCGUAUCGGAAGGUGCGGCUGGAUCACCUCCUUUAAAAGGAA